RNAcentral lists this ribosomal RNA (314 nucleotides) under uncultured eukaryote. RNAcentral describes it as "partial 18S ribosomal RNA". It matches the Rfam family "Eukaryotic small subunit ribosomal RNA", at positions 1470 to 1796 of the family's 1831-position model. The record is from RNAcentral.
CCCUUAGAUGUUCUGGGCCGCACGCGCGCUACAAUGGCAGACUCAGCGAGUUACCUCUGUCGAAAGGCACAGGGAAUCUUUACAGUAUCUGCCGUGAUGGGGAUAGACCCUUGUAAUUUUUGGUCUUCAACGAGGAAUUCCUAGUAAACGCAAGUCAUUAACUUGCAUUGAUUAUGUCCCUGCCCUUUGUACACACCGCCCGUCGCACCUACCGAUUGAAUGGUCCGGUGAAGUCCUCGGACCCAGUUGAACCUCGAGUUGAACAGGGAAAGUUGACUAAAUCUUACCAUUUAGAGGAAGGUGAAGUCGUAACA